UGGGGAAUAUUGCACAAUGGGCGCAAGCCUGAUGCAGCAAUGCCGCGUGUAUGAAGAAGGCCUUCGGGUUGUAAAGUACUUUCAGCGGGGAGGAAGGUGUUGUGGUUAAUAACCUCAGCAAUUGACGUUACCCGCAGAAGAAGCACCGGCUAACUCCGUGCCAGCAGCCGCGGUAAUACGGAGGGUGCAAGCGUUAAUCGGAAUUACUGGGCGUAAAGCGCACGCAGGCGGUCUGUCAAGUCGGAUGUGAAAUCCCCGGGCUCAACCUGGGAACUGCAUCCGAAACUGGCAGGCUUGAGUCUUGUAGAGGGGGGUAGAAUUCCAGGUGUAGCGGUGAAAUGCGUAGAGAUCUGGAGGAAUACCGGUGGCGAAGGCGGCCCCCUGGACAAAGACUGACGCUCAGGUGCGAAAGCGUGGGGAGCAAACA
RNAcentral lists this ribosomal RNA (427 nucleotides) under uncultured bacterium. RNAcentral describes it as "partial 16S ribosomal RNA". It matches the Rfam family "Bacterial small subunit ribosomal RNA", at positions 355 to 774 of the family's 1533-position model. The record is from RNAcentral.